Molecule: ribosomal RNA, 572 nt
Filed under: uncultured Glomeromycotina
Lineage: Eukaryota; Fungi; Glomeromycota
Description: SSU rRNA
Rfam family: Eukaryotic small subunit ribosomal RNA
Source: RNAcentral
UUGGAGGGCAAGUCUGGUGCCAGCAGCCGCGGUAAUUCCAGCUCCAAUAGCGUAUAUUAAAGUUGUUGCAGUUAAAAAGCUCGUAGUUGAAUUUCGGGAUUGACGUGAUGGUCAUGCCUUAAGGGGUAUGAACUGUUACUGUUGAUUUCUCACCUUCUGGAGAAACUUGAUGUCCUUUAUUGGGUGUCUUGCGGAUCCAGGACCUUUACCUUGAAAAAAUUAGAGUGUUUAAAGCAGGCAUUUUUGCUCGAAUACAUUAGCAUGGAAUAAUAGAAUAGGACGGCAUGGUUCUAUUUUGUUGGUUUCUAGGAUCACCGUAAUGAUUAAUAGGGAUAGUUGGGGGCAUUAGUAUUCAAUUGUCAGAGGUGAAAUUCUUGGAUUUAUUGAAGACUAACUACUGCGAAAGCAUUUGCCAAGGAUGUUUUCAUUAAUCAAGAACGAAAGUUAGGGGAUCGAAGACGAUCAGAUACCGUCGUAGUCUUAACCAUAAACUAUGCCGACUAGGAAUCAGACGAUGUUAAUUUUUUAAUGACUCGUUUGGCACCUUACGGGAAACCAAAGUGUUUGGGUUC